CAUGAGAUGCUACAUUGGUAAUG
This 23-nucleotide transfer RNA is filed under the name Limnophila x ludoviciana. Its description in RNAcentral is "partial tRNA-Phe". The record is from RNAcentral. Lineage: Eukaryota; Viridiplantae; Streptophyta; Magnoliopsida; Lamiales; Plantaginaceae.